RNAcentral lists this ribosomal RNA (687 nucleotides) under uncultured Bacteroidales bacterium. Its description in RNAcentral is "bacterial SSU rRNA". It matches the Rfam family "Bacterial small subunit ribosomal RNA", at positions 55 to 729 of the family's 1533-position model. The record is from RNAcentral. Lineage: Bacteria; Pseudomonadati; Bacteroidota; Bacteroidia; Bacteroidales.
AUGCAAGUCGAGGGGCAGCAUGGUCUUAGCUUGCUAAGGCUGAUGGCGACCGGCGCACGGGUGAGUAACACGUAUCCAACCUGCCGUCUACUCUUGGCCAGCCUUCUGAAAGGAAGAUUAAUCCAGGAUGGGAUCAUGAGUUCACAUGUCCGCAUGAUUAAAGGUAUUUUCCGGUAGACGAUGGGGAUGCGUUCCAUUAGAUAGUAGGCGGGGUAACGGCCCACCUAGUCAACGAUGGAUAGGGGUUCUGAGAGGAAGGUCCCCCACAUUGGAACUGAGACACGGUCCAAACUCCUACGGGAGGCAGCAGUGAGGAAUAUUGGUCAAUGGGCGAUGGCCUGAACCAGCCAAGUAGCGUGAAGGAUGACUGCCCUAUGGGUUGUAAACUUCUUUUAUAAAGGAAUAAAGUCGGGUAUGCAUACCCGUUUGCAUGUACUUUAUGAAUAAGGAUCGGCUAACUCCGUGCCAGCAGCCGCGGUAAUACGGAGGAUCCGAGCGUUAUCCGGAUUUAUUGGGUUUAAAGGGAGCGUAGAUGGAUGUUUAAGUCAGUUGUGAAAGUUUGCGGCUCAACCGUAAAAUUGCAGUUGAUACUGGAUGUCUUGAGUGCAGUUGAGGCAGGCGGAAUUCGUGGUGUAGCGGUGAAAUGCUUAGACAUCACGAAGAACUCCGAUUGCGAAGGCAGCCUGC